Molecule: ribosomal RNA, 613 nt
Filed under: uncultured bacterium
Lineage: Bacteria
Description: partial 16S ribosomal RNA
Rfam family: Bacterial small subunit ribosomal RNA
Source: RNAcentral
UGCAGUCNNNNGUAACGCGAGGAGCUUGCUCCUUGGCGACGAGUGGCGNNNNNGUGAGUAAUACUUAGGAAUCUGCCCAGUAGUGGGGGACAACAUUCGGAAACGGAUGCUAAUACCGCAUACGCCCUAAGGGGGAAAGCGGGGGAUCUUCGGACCUCGCGCUAUUGGAUGAGCCUAAGUCGGAUUAGCUUGUUGGUGGGGUAAAGGCCUACCAAGGCGACGAUCCGUAGCUGGUCUGAGAGGACGAUCAGCCACACUGGGACUGAGACACGGCCCAGACUCCUACGGGAGGCAGCAGUAGGGAAUAUUGGACAAUGGGCGAAAGCCUGAUCCAGCAAUGCCGCGUGUGUGAAGAAGGCCUGCGGGUUGUAAAGCACUUUCAGUAGAGAAGAAAAGCUCACGGUUAAUAACCAGGAGUCUUGACGUAACCUACAGAAGAAGCACCGGCUAACUCCGUGCCAGCAGCCGCGGUAAUACGGAGGGUGCGAGCGUUAAUCGGAAUUACUGGGCGUAAAGCGCGCGUAGGCGGCUUUGUAAGUCGGAUGNGAAAUCCCCGGGCUUAACCUGGGAACUGCAUUCNAUACUGNANAACUAGAGUAUGGNAGAGGGAAGU